GUCCUGGUGCUGUUAGUGGUGGCCGUUUGUCUGCUGCUAGCACUUAAAGGGAGACGGGGUUUUACCAUGUUGCUCAGCCUAGUAUUGAAAUCCUGGACUCAAGCAAUCUGACCACCUACGCCUCCCAAACUGCUGGGAUUACAGGUAGUCCAGGCGGGUCAGGAAGCAGGAGUGGAGGAUGUCUUCUUGACCUAUGAGAUAAGAAAAACAAACCCAUCUGACGCAGGAAUGGCAUUUGUUCCAAUGCCUAAUUUUAGAAGCAGAGUGUAAGGAGAUGAGUUGAAGCAUACAUGAGUAAUACCAAUAAAAAGUUGAGAUGGAAUGUUCUUGUUCUCAACUUGAAUGCUGGGCUGUGGAACCAAAGUGCACAGGAUUUUGCAAACAAAUAACUGUCCAUAGAUUAUCGUUUUCUACUGGAGGGUCUGAGAGAG
This 431-nucleotide long non-coding RNA is filed under the name Homo sapiens (human). Its description in RNAcentral is "PREDICTED lncRNA (TCONS_00070234)". The record is from RNAcentral. Lineage: Eukaryota; Metazoa; Chordata; Mammalia; Primates; Hominidae.